This 483-nucleotide ribosomal RNA is filed under the name uncultured bacterium. RNAcentral's name for it is "partial 16S ribosomal RNA". It matches the Rfam family "Bacterial small subunit ribosomal RNA", at positions 30 to 507 of the family's 1533-position model. The record is from RNAcentral.
AUUGAACGCUGGCGGCAGGCCUAACACAUGCAAGUCGAGCGGAUGAAGGGAGCUUGCUCCUGGAUUCAGCGGCGGACGGGUGAGUAAUGCCUAGGAAUCUGCCUGGUAGUGGGGGAUAACGUCCGGAAGCGGGCGCUAAUACCGCAUACGUCCUGAGGGAGAAAGUGGGGAUCUUCGGACCUCACGCUAUCAGGUGAGCCUAGGUCGGAUUAGCUAGUUGGUGGGGUAAAGGCCUACCAAGGCGACGAUCCGUAACUGGUCUGAGAGGAUGAUCAGUCACACUGGAACUGAGACACGGUCCAGACUCCUACGGGAGGCAGCAGUGGGGAAUAUUGGACAAUGGGCGAAAGCCUGAUCCAGCCAUGCCGCGUGUGUGAAGAAGGUCUUCGGAUUGUAAAGCACUUUAAGUUGGGAGGAAGGGCAGUAAGUUAAUACCUUGCUGUUUUGACGUUACCAACAGAAUAAGCACCGGCUAACUUCGUG